UUUAAGGUCUAAUCUGCCCUAUGAGGAAUUAAAUGGCCGCGGUACUUUGACCGUGCAAAGGUAGCAUAAUAAUUAGUUUUUUAAUUGAAAGCUGGAAUGAAUGAUUGGACGAGAAAAUAACUGUUUCAAUUUAAAUUUUUUUAGAAUUUUAUUUUUAAGUUAAAAAGCUUAGAUUUUAUUAAAAGACGAGAAGACCCUAUAGAGUUUUAUAUUUGAUAAAUUAUUAAUUUUUAAGUUUAUUUUUAUUAAUAUUUAAUUAGAUAUUUUAUUGGGGCGAUAGAGAAAUAUUAUUAACUUUUUUUAGUUUAAAGUCAUUAAUUUAUGAUUGAUUGAUCCAUUAUUUAUGAUUAUAAGAAUAAGUUACCUUAGGGAUAACAGCGUAAUUUUUCUUUAGAGUUCUUAUCGAAAGAAGGGAUUGCGACCUCGAUGUUGGAUUAAAGUUAAUGUUUGGUGUAGGAGCUAAAUAAUUAGGUCUGUUCGACCUUUGAAACUUUACA
RNAcentral lists this ribosomal RNA (497 nucleotides) under Maladera taiwana. RNAcentral's name for it is "partial 16S large subunit ribosomal RNA". It matches the Rfam family "Bacterial large subunit ribosomal RNA", at positions 1844 to 2600 of the family's 2925-position model. Lineage: Eukaryota; Metazoa; Arthropoda; Insecta; Coleoptera; Scarabaeidae. The record is from RNAcentral.